GGUAUUGUUUGCCCCACGAUCGGCCCCGGAAACCAAUUGUGAUACGCAACAAUCGUAAA
This is a regulatory RNA element of Aerococcus urinae, 59 nucleotides long. It matches the Rfam family "Ribosomal protein L13 leader". Rfam says of the family: This family is a putative r-protein leader autoregulatory structure found in B. subtilis and other low-GC Gram-positive bacteria. It is located in the 5' untranslated regions of mRNAs encoding the L13-S9 (rplM-rpsI) ribosomal protein operon. The record is from Rfam. NCBI's taxonomy places the organism in Bacteria, Bacillati, Bacillota, Bacilli, Lactobacillales, Aerococcaceae.